RNAcentral lists this ribosomal RNA (440 nucleotides) under uncultured bacterium gp1. Its description in RNAcentral is "bacterial SSU rRNA". It matches the Rfam family "Bacterial small subunit ribosomal RNA", at positions 338 to 795 of the family's 1533-position model. The record is from RNAcentral.
CCUACGGGAGGCUGCAGUGGGGAAUAUUGGACAAUGGGCGAAACCCUGACGCAGCAACGCCGCGUGGAGGAUGAAGUACUUCGGUACGUAAACUCCUUUCGAUCGGGACGAUUAUGACGGUACCGAGAGAAGAAGCCCCGGCUAACUUCGUGCCAGCAGCCGCGGUAAUACGAGGGGGGCAAGCGUUGUUCGGAAUUAUUGGGCGUAAAGGGUGCGUAGGCGGUUCGGUAAGUCUGAUGUGAAAUCUAUGGGCUCAACUCAUAGUCUGCAUCGGAAACUGCCGGGCUUGAGUAUGGGAGAGGUGAGUGGAAUUCCUGGUGUAGCGGUGAAAUGCGUAGAUAUCAGGAGGAACACCUGUGGCGAAAGCGGCUCACUGGACCAUAACUGACGCUGAUGCACGAAAGCUAGGGGAGCAAACAGGAUUAGAUACCCUUGUAGUC